Molecule: ribosomal RNA, 846 nt
Filed under: Xepicula yifeii
Lineage: Eukaryota; Fungi; Ascomycota; Sordariomycetes; Hypocreales; Stachybotryaceae
Description: Xepicula sp. QZ-2019a partial large subunit ribosomal RNA
Rfam family: Eukaryotic large subunit ribosomal RNA
Source: RNAcentral
CCAACAGGGAUUGCCUCAGUAACGGCGAGUGAAGCGGCAACAGCUCAAAUUUGAAAUCUGGCCCCAGGCCCGAGUUGUAAUUUGCAGAGGAUGCUUUUGGCAAGGUGCCUUCCGAGUUCCCUGGAACGGGACGCCAUAGAGGGUGAGAGCCCCGUCUGGUCGGACACCGAGCCUCUGUAAAGCUCCUUCGACGAGUCGAGUAGUUUGGGAAUGCUGCUCAAAAUGGGAGGUAUAUGUCUUCUAAAGCUAAAUACCGGCCAGAGACCGAUAGCGCACAAGUAGAGUGAUCGAAAGAUGAAAAGCACUUUGAAAAGAGAGUUAAAUAGCACGUGAAAUUGUUGAAAGGGAAGCGUUUAUGACCAGACUUGGCCCGGUUGAUCAUCCAGCGUUCUCGCUGGUGCACUCUGCCGGUCCAGGCCAGCAUCAGUUCGUCGCGGGGGAUAAAGGUUUCGGGAAUGUGGCUCCUCCGGGAGUGUUAUAGCCCGUUGCGUAAUACCCUGCGGUGGACUGAGGUCCGCGCUCUGCAAGGAUGCUGGCGUAAUGGUCAUCAACGACCCGUCUUGAAACACGGACCAAGGAGUCGUCUUCGUAUGCGAGUGUUCGGGUGUAAAACCCCUACGCGUAAUGAAAGUGAACGCAGGUGAGAGCUUCGGCGCAUCAUCGACCGAUCCUGAUGUUCUCGGAUGGAUUUGAGUAAGAGCAUACGGGGCCGGACCCGAAAGAAGGUGAACUAUGCCUGUAUAGGGUGAAGCCAGAGGAAACUCUGGUGGAGGCUCGCAGCGGUUCUGACGUGCAAAUCGAUCGUCAAAUAUGGGCAUGGGGGCGAAAGACUAAUCGAACUUCUAG